This 1122-nucleotide ribosomal RNA is filed under the name Triticum aestivum (bread wheat). RNAcentral's name for it is "partial small subunit ribosomal RNA". The record is from RNAcentral. Lineage: Eukaryota; Viridiplantae; Streptophyta; Magnoliopsida; Poales; Poaceae.
AUGCACCCGGCUCCCGAACCUGUUGUUCGGAUUGUUGACGGCGACAUUGCCGCCGCCGGCGCCGCGCUCCAGCCCGAACCACCUGGAGACAACAAGCUUCUCAUCCCAGCGCCUCUCGAUGGCAGUCACCGGGACGACGAGGCGGCCGAGGAUGUCAUCCCUGCCCGGCGACACAUGAUCCUCCAGAGAGACCACCAAGAACUCCUCGAAUGGCUCGGCAACCACAAACAUCAGGUCUUCGUUCCAGAACGGGCUCGUCGGGCCCCGGUUCGCCAUGAUCGGCGACGCUCGUGUGCGCAGCAUCUGGCUCCCGAUCUGCGCGCGCACGAAGAGCUCCGGGUACCGGCCCAUCGCCAUGGGCCCCUUGUCCAUGGGAAGCAGGUCCUGCGCCUCGAUGACGGACACACGGAGGUACCACAGCUUGGGGGCGACGUAGACCUUGGACUUGAUGGAUCCCAGGGGGCCGUGGCCCUGGACGCCGGCGGCCUUGGAGUGCCACGCCUCGGCGAAGGCCUCGUCGGCCUGGGUGCCGUACCACACGGCGACCAUCACCUCCACGCUGCCGCGCUCGCCCUUGCGGUCCUCCAUGGCGUACCACUGCGGCGCCAGCGUGCUGUCCGGCGGCGCGCGGCGGGGCACCUCGGAGAGGUCGAACCAGAUGCGGCCGACGUGGUCGUCGCUGCCGCGGGCGCGCACGAACACCUCCACGAAGGAGGACUGGAUGGUCUCCUUGGAGAAGGCGAAGACCUGGUCCCACUGGUGCGCGGCGGCCGGCGGCGUGACGCCGCGGUAGUUCCCGAGCUUGACCUCCGCGACGGCCUCGCCGGGCGUCGCCACGCCGCACGCGCGCACCACGCGCACGUACAGGUACUGCAUCUGCUCGACCAGGUCGUAGGUGGCGCUGGCCUUGUCGGCCGUCAGGCCGCCGCCGAGGUGGGGACGCGUCUCCUUGAGGGAGAAGUCCGCGGGGCCGCCGGGGAACAUGCUGGGCACGGGGUAGUGGUCGGCGAGCAUCACCGGCUUCAUGGCCGCCGGCUGCGGCUGCGGCAAGACCUCCAUGGGCUGCUGCGGCUGCUGGCUGGCGCUGGUGCUGCUGCUGCUGCUGCUGCUUCUUGCCCCCAU